CACGUAGGGGGCAAGCGUUGUCCGGAUUUAUUGGGCGUAAAGAGCGUGUAGGCGGCUUGGAAGGUCAGCUGUGAAAACUCGAGGCUCAACCUCGAGACGUCGGUUGAAACCACCUGGCUAGAGUCCGGAAGAGGAGAGUGGAAUUCCAGGUGUAGCGGUGAAAUGCGUAGAUAUCUGGAGGAACACCGGUGGCGAAGGCGGCAUCCUGGACCGGCAUUGACGCUGAUGAGCGAAAGCUAGGGGAGCAAACGGG
Molecule: ribosomal RNA, 253 nt
Filed under: uncultured bacterium
Lineage: Bacteria
Description: partial 16S ribosomal RNA
Rfam family: Bacterial small subunit ribosomal RNA
Source: RNAcentral